GAUGAACGCUAGCGGCAGGCCUAAUACAUGCAAGACGAACGGUAAGUUGAGUAGCAAUACUUAGCCAAGAGUGUCGUACGGGUGCGUAACACGUAUGCAACCUACCCUAUACAGGAGGAUAGCCUAGGGAAACCUGGAUUAACCCUUCAUAGUAUUAUUGGAUGGCAUCAUUUGAUAAUUAAAACUGAGGUGGUAUAGGAUGGGCAUGCGUCUGAUUAGUUAGUUGGCGGGGUAAUGGCCCACCAAGACGAUGAUCAGUAGGGGUUCUGAGAGGAAGAUCCCCCACACUGGCACUGAGAUACGGGCCAGACUCCUACGGGAGGCAGCAGUGGGGAAUAUUGCGCAAUGGGCGAAAGCCUGACGCAGCGACGCCGCGUGGGUGAUGAAGGCC
This 391-nucleotide ribosomal RNA is filed under the name uncultured bacterium. Its description in RNAcentral is "bacterial SSU rRNA". It matches the Rfam family "Bacterial small subunit ribosomal RNA", at positions 28 to 416 of the family's 1533-position model. The record is from RNAcentral.